AUUGGACGCUGGCGGCAUGCCUUACACAUGCAAGUCGAACGGUAACAGGUCUUCGGAUGCUGACGAGUGGCGAACGGGUGAGUAAUACAUCGGAACGUGCCCGAUCGUGGGGGAUAACGAGGCGAAAGCUUUGCUAAUACCGCAUACGAUCUACGGAUGAAAGCGGGGGAUCUUCGGACCUCGCGCGGACGGAGCGGCCGAUGGCGGAUUAGGUAGUUGUUGGGAUAAAAGCUUACCAAGCCGACGAUCUGUAGCUGGUCUGAGAGGAUGAUCAGCCACACUGGGACUGAGACACGGCCCAGACUCCUACGGGAGGCAGCAGUGGGGAAUUUUGGACAAUGGGCGAAAGCCUGAUCCAGCCAUGCCGCGUGCAGGAUGAAGGCCUUUGGGUUGUAAACUGCUUUUGUACGGAACGAAAAGCCUCUUUCUAAUAAAGAGGGGUCAUGACGGUACCGUAAGAAUAAGCACCGGCUAACUACGUG
Molecule: ribosomal RNA, 482 nt
Filed under: uncultured bacterium
Lineage: Bacteria
Description: partial 16S ribosomal RNA
Rfam family: Bacterial small subunit ribosomal RNA
Source: RNAcentral